This 438-nucleotide ribosomal RNA is filed under the name Triticum aestivum (bread wheat). RNAcentral describes it as "partial small subunit ribosomal RNA". The record is from RNAcentral. Lineage: Eukaryota; Viridiplantae; Streptophyta; Magnoliopsida; Poales; Poaceae.
AUGUCAUACCCACUAGAUGCUCCAACAUACAUACCAAAAACCUUGUUUGUGAAGUACUUGGAUGACUAUGUAGAGCGUUUCAAUAUUCAACCCAAGUAUCUCACUAGUGUGGAGUCAUCCACAUUUGACGAUGACAAAAAAUGUUGGUCCAUCAUGGCACAUGACAUGGCAAAGAGCACAAUAGUCAGGUUCACAGCAAAGUUUCUUGUUGUGGCAAGUGGUGAGAAUAGUGCAGAGAAUAUUCCAAUGAUCCCCGGACUGCAAAGUUUUCCGGGUGAUGUCGUCCACUCCUCAAGCUACAAGUCAGGCAAGAGCUACUCUGGCAUGAAUGUAUUGGUCAUUGGAUCUGGCAACCCUGGAAUGGAAUUUGCUUAUGACCUUGCGGCCUAUGGUGCCAAUACUUCAGUCAUUAUACGAAGCCCGGGUAUAAAGCGAUAG